Molecule: unclassified non-coding RNA, 248 nt
Filed under: Hevea brasiliensis (rubber tree)
Lineage: Eukaryota; Viridiplantae; Streptophyta; Magnoliopsida; Malpighiales; Euphorbiaceae
Source: RNAcentral
UUGUUACGUAUAGCAGAGCUAGAUAUGGGAAAGGAAAUAAUAGGAAUGGAGCUGUAGUUGUAUGAGGAGGAGAGUAGAAUAGUUAUUGUAGAGGGAGUCCUUGCUAUAUAAAUAAGAGAAAUGUAUUAGAGGAGACUCAUUCCAAGAAUCAAUAAACAAGAAUACUUUUCUCUCAUCUUUGAAUAUUCUCUUCUCUUCUCAUCCAACCUAAUCUAUUUCUUUUCUCAUCUAUUUCUCUCUCUCUCUCU